UUUAUAACACCGUUUAAAGGCAAACAAAAGGAAAUUGCUUGUGCCAGAUGGGGUACGGAAGGCAUUGUGAAUGAAAAUGAGCAUCUCUUUUCUGCUUAAAUUAAAUUAUAUAAUGAAGGUGAACAUUUCUUGUAAACCAUAAAGUAUAUGCAUACAACCUUUCAUUUUGUGGUUUAUCUUUCUGGAAUUAGUCUAGAAAUUGUCUCCAAUUUUGCCUCGUAUUUUAUCUGAACUGUUGGUUCACAGCUGCUGGCUUUCUUUUUCUUGUAACCUCACGUAUUUUCAUGAAUAACAUUUCAAAUCUAAUCAUUGAUGUUGCAGCUGAUGGUGAUCUCUCUCUGCUCUAAGCACCUAUAAUAGUUAUUUAGCACUUAUGCUAUGCCACCAUUUAUCUUCGUUGCCUAUAUCCUCUCUACUUGGCUGUAACAUCAACUCUUGAAUAUUAACACUUGUACUAAAAAGACUACUACUAAUAGCUAACAUUUAUGGUUUACUGUAUGCCAGGCACUGUACUAAGCAUUUUAAAUGGACUAUUAAAUUUAAUAAGAAGCAGGAAACACAUUGUGUUUUACAGUGGGAUCACAUAAUACAUUUAUUAUAUAAUAU
RNAcentral lists this long non-coding RNA (606 nucleotides) under Homo sapiens (human). Its description in RNAcentral is "non-protein coding lnc-OR13C4-6:2". Lineage: Eukaryota; Metazoa; Chordata; Mammalia; Primates; Hominidae. The record is from RNAcentral.